Non-coding RNA from Labrus bergylta (ballan wrasse), 3003 nucleotides. NCBI's taxonomy places the organism in Eukaryota, Metazoa, Chordata, Actinopteri, Labriformes, Labridae. The record is from RefSeq and is a predicted model, not a curated record.
GAAUCCCUGUUCAGCGGCCUGGGGCUGGGCGCGGUGGUCGGCCUCGGCCUGGGAGCGCUGCUGCUGCUGCUCGUGCUGGUGGAUGUCAGCUGCUUCUUCCUGCGUCACUGUGGCCUGCUGAUGUGCAUCACGCGCACAAUCUGCAGCAAGAAAACAGCCACCAGCGGCAAGGGCAAAGAAAUGGAAGAGGGCAAGGCCGCCUACCUGAAACUACCGCUGAAGGAAGAAAAUGGAAAAGAGUCUCUCAAGCCAGAUACGAUUGAAAUCAAAGUUCACAGCGACAACAGCAUCCACACAAAGCCCGACGUCAGCAAAGCGUAAAAGGGUCCGGUCCCCUCGCCACCAAAAGAACAUUCGGAUCACGAGACCAAAACCCAGAGAAACUUCAGCACUGGAAAAUAGUGGAGUAAAAUACCAUAUCUGUUUAUAACAAUGCCCAAGUGAAAGGCAUGUGUAAAUACAAAUAAUAAGGAGAAAAUAGAAAGAGAGAAAGGGUCAAACUUUUACACACCCUGAGUGAUAUAUGUAUCAAAAACAUGGCAUCAGUGGAAAGCUCUUGUUGAUCAAUGAUUGUAUUUUAUUUGUCUCUCUUUUUGUUGUGUCUGGUCAUAAAUGUUGUUUUUUCCCUCUUCUUUGUGUUUUACAACCCUAAAAAGAUUUCCGUACCCAAUCCCUACCAUGACCUCUUCCACAAAUGCAAGCAAAGCUAACCUGCUAGCUCGAUGUUAGCUUCCACAGCUAACACUCCUGUUCGUUUUUGGUUGGAGGGAACGCACGGCUAACACGAGGCUAAUGCUGAAUUAUUUCAAGCUAGCUCGCUUCAGCAAAGGGUAAAUUGUGCAAUGAGACUUUGAGGUUGUAUUUCUUAAAGGAAUCUUGACUCCAGGAACUUGUGAGAUAUUUUACAAGGAUGAAAAAGUAUCAAACAGGAUGUAAUCAUGGAUUAUUAUUAAGAAGAAUUUGAUUAAUAUGGCUUUCUGAAGGGCUAUUGUGGAUCAAAGCUUCCACUGCAGGAACACAAACCUAAAACAUAUUGAAGAAAAUUUAGUCUUUGACAUCUAAAGACUCAUAUUUGCACUGAUGUCAUUAUUGGCACACUCUUUACGUUGAUGACACUCUUCUAUUCACUAACAACGUUUUCCUACAGCAGACUGCACUGCAAACUAAUGUACGCUUUGAGAUCAUGUUAGUUAUCAAUAUUUAAGAGUUGAGAGCCUUCCCUUAAAAAAAUAUCCUGAAUGGUUGUUAUGUAAUUGUCGCUGUCUUUAGAGAAAGCAGUGACUGGAAGGACUCAAAGCAUGGGAACAACUGAGUUCAGAAAACAAUCAACAUGUCCGUCAUCGAUGUUUUUAAUCACAAAAAAACGUUUUCUUUAUCCAUACCUGUCUCAGAUGUUUUUAAAAGCUUUUGUUCUUGAUCUAAAUCUCUCUGAUGUUGUCAUGUGUUGUACAUAGGUGAAAAAAAAAAAGAAUAUUUUACAAAGCUUUUAUGUAAAUAUACCCUAAAGGAUGUGUCUUUUUUCAAAAUGCAACAGGCUUGGCUUUUUUCUUGAGAACACUCCUCAGACGAAAAGCUGUUUUCUUUCUUCUUCUUCUUCUUUUGUUGUGUUUUGGUCCAAAGUUUAGUGACGGUGUACUAUUACUUUUCCUUGUCAUUUGUUUCCCUUAAGAAAGCCCUAAGGCUAUUUCACGGCAUUCCAAUGCAGACAGUAAUUACGGCAUUAGUGUGCCUUUUUUUUCUUCUUUCCCUCUCGUGGCCCGAUGCCGCUGCAGCAGUGUAGACCAUCCAAUUCAUUUUUUGAUCGCUGCUUUUUGUUUUUUUGCCACAGAAUGUGUCAGACAAUUGAAUAUUAAUGUGGUGCUUUGGAUUCUGGGAAACGUAGUGUUAGGACUGUGGGUUGUAGUCGACCACACUGGACAGAGGCAGACGUGUGUAACUACUAGAUGUCAGAUAAAUGCUGUAACUCGUGAGUGUGUUGAUGGGCUGCAGAAAUCUGGUUUAAAUGCAAUGUAAUGCAUCAUCACAUGGGCGUGUGUGAACGUGUGUGUGUGUGUGUGUGUGUGCAUACAUGCAUAUGUGACUUGUCAACAUGAAUCAGGUUGCAUGUGUGUCCGUUGAAUGUAUCUGCACUUACUGUGAGUCAUCUGUGUGUGAAUGUGUCCAUUUGAAAGAUUCUACCAACUCAAAUAAUCAGUUUAACAAACGUCCUAUUCUGGCUUUUUAUUUUCAUUUUAUUUAUUUGUUUAUGUGUUGAGCUAUUUAUUUUAGAUUUAAUUAUUCAGUACCAUGAUGCAUUGCAGCCCUGCAAGUCAUAUAUGACCACGUGCCAAGUAUGAAUGUCCAAUCUCUGUGAGUGUGGAGUGACUUGGCAAGAGCUCUUACCCCGAGUUUCACAGGGCGCUCCGAUAGGUAAAACCUGAUUAUGUAGUUCUCGACAGUGAUUAAUUCCCCGGGCUGCAGCACUCCACUCCGCAUGUGUGUGUGUGUGUGUGUGCCCACUUCUCCCCGGCUCUCAGACUCCACUGGUUUUUAUCUCAGACCUCAUAGUGCUGGCUUUGUUUCCUCACAGCGGGCCCUUGUACCUGCAUAUCUCAAACGGAUGGUCCUGCCAUGGAGUGGUUCCGCUGCCUGUUACGAUGACUGUAAAUAUGGGAGCCUGGAGUGCCUGGAGGCUAUACGAUUUGUACAUGUUCUUUUGUAUUUGAAUAUGAGUCGAAAAAUACCCAACUCCCUCCUCUCCUUCUUAUCCUCUCCCCCCUCCCCCUCCUCCUCCACCAAACCUCAGUCCUUUUUCUGUAGGGGGUAAAACAGGUGUGUUUGAGCUCAGUGUACAGUAUGUGUCCUCUUGUCCCCAUGCUCCCUGUGUCUCCUGGACUGUCCCCGCUGAGUGUGCUUUGUGCAGGAGGUGGGAACUAUUGAUGUCUCUCUGUACGUACCUGUGGAAACACUUGUGACUCCUGUCAUUUGCCGCUGUAAAUAAACAUGUCCUGGUAGAAGAGAGUG